GGGAUCAAUCCCUGGGUUGGGAAGAUCCCCUGAAGGAGGGCAUGGCAACCCACUCCAGUAUUCUUGCCUGGAGAAUCCCCAAGGACAGAGGAGCCUGGUGGGCUACUGUCCAUGGGGUUGCAAACAGUCGGACAUGACUGAGCAACUAAGCACAGCAAGACAGAGGGGACUGCACGUGCAAAGGCUCUGAGUCUCCACUCUUUACUGUAAGGAAACCGUAGUCAUGUACAGUUAUGAGAGUUGGACCAUUAAGAAUGAUGAGCACUGAAGAAUUGAUGCUUUUGAAUUGUGGUGCUGGAGGAGACUCUUGAAAGCCCCUUGGACUGCAAGGAGAUAAAACCAGUCAAUCCUAAAGGAAAUCAACUCUGAAUAUUUCCUGGAAGGACUGAUGCUGAAACUGAUGCUCUAAUAUUUUGGCCAUCUGAUGCAAAGAGCCGAUUCAUUGGAAAAGACCCUGAUGCUGGGAAAGACUGAAGGCCAAAGAAGAGGGUGGCAGAGGAUGAUAUGAUUAUAUAACGUCACUGACUCAAUGGACAUGAAUUUGAGCAUAGUAUAUUGAAAAACGGGGACGCCUGUCUCUGGAAAGCCCAGCUCUCAAGCAGGCCUCUGCCUUGCUUAUAUG
This is a long non-coding RNA of Bos taurus (domestic cattle), 622 nucleotides long. Lineage: Eukaryota; Metazoa; Chordata; Mammalia; Artiodactyla; Bovidae. The record is from Ensembl.